This 446-nucleotide ribosomal RNA is filed under the name uncultured bacterium. RNAcentral's name for it is "partial 16S ribosomal RNA". It matches the Rfam family "Bacterial small subunit ribosomal RNA", at positions 338 to 795 of the family's 1533-position model. The record is from RNAcentral.
CCUACGGGAGGCAGCAGUCGAGAAUCAUUCACAAUGGGGGAAACCCUGAUGGUGCGACGCCGCGUGGGGGAAUGCAGCUCUUCGGAUUGUAAACCUCUGUCAUGUGGGAGCAAAUUCAAAAGAGUGUACCACAAUAGGUAUAUCCGGAUAACUCUGUGCCACUAGCAGCGUUAAUACAGAGGCAUUAAGCGUGGGUCGGCAUUACUUGGCGUAAAGGGUUCGUAGGCUGGUUCGUAAGUCCUGUGUGAAAGGUGCGGGGUCAACCUGCGGAGGGCAACUGAUACUGGGAGACUAGAGUAAUGGAGAGGGAGCCGGAAUUCGCGGUGUAGCAGUGAAAUGCGUAGAUAUCGAGAAGAACACUGAUGGCGAAGGCGGGUUACUGGACAUUCACUGACGCUGAGGCACGAAGGCCAGGGGAGCGAAAGGGAUUAGAUACCCUGGUAGUC